RNAcentral lists this ribosomal RNA (392 nucleotides) under uncultured Gammaproteobacteria bacterium. RNAcentral describes it as "bacterial SSU rRNA". It matches the Rfam family "Bacterial small subunit ribosomal RNA", at positions 370 to 779 of the family's 1533-position model. Lineage: Bacteria; Pseudomonadati; Pseudomonadota; Gammaproteobacteria. The record is from RNAcentral.
AAUGGGCGAAAGCCUGAUCCAGCAAUGCAGCGUGUGUGAAGAAGGCCUGAGGGUUGUAAAGCACUUUCAGUAGGGAAGAUAAUGACGGUACCUACAGAAGAAGCACCGGCUAACUCCGUGCCAGCAGCCGCGGUAAUACGGAGGGUGCAAGCGUUAAUCGGAAUUACUGGGCGUAAAGCGUACGUAGGAUGUAAUGCAAGUCGGAUGUGAAAUCCCCGGGCUUAACCUGGGAACUGCAUUCGAAACUACAUUACUAGAGUGUAGUAGAGGUAAGCGGAAUUUCGGGUGUAGCGGUGAAAUGCGUAGAUAUCCGAAAGAACAUCAGUGGCGAAGGCGGCUUACUGGACUAACACUGACUCUGAGGUACGAAAGCGUGGGUAGCAAACAGGAUU